UACGUAGGGAGCAAGCGUUGUCCGGAAUCAUUGGGCGUAAAGAGCGCGUAGGUGGCUGUAUAAGUCCGUUGUGAAAGUCAAAGGCUCAACCUUUGAAAGCCGAUGGAUACUGUAGAGCUAGAGUACGGAAGAGGCGAGUGGAAUUCCUGGUGUAGCGGUGGAAUGCGCAGAUAUCAGGAGGAACACCGAUAGCGAAGGCAGCUCGCUGGGACGUUACUGACACUGAGGCGCGAAAGCGUGGGGAGCGAACAGG
This 253-nucleotide ribosomal RNA is filed under the name uncultured bacterium. Its description in RNAcentral is "partial 16S ribosomal RNA". It matches the Rfam family "Bacterial small subunit ribosomal RNA", at positions 524 to 776 of the family's 1533-position model. The record is from RNAcentral.